RNAcentral lists this ribosomal RNA (253 nucleotides) under uncultured bacterium. Its description in RNAcentral is "partial 16S ribosomal RNA". It matches the Rfam family "Bacterial small subunit ribosomal RNA", at positions 524 to 776 of the family's 1533-position model. The record is from RNAcentral.
UACGUAGGGUGCAAACGUUAUCCGGAUUUAUUGGGCGUAAAGAGCUCGUAGGCGGUUUGGAAAGUCGGAUAUUAAAUACUCCAGCUUAACUGGAGGCAAGUAUCCGAAACUUCCUAACUAGAGGUAUGCAGGGGCAGAUGGAACUUACGGUGUAGCGGUGGAAUGCGUAGAUAUCGUAAGGAACGCCAAUGGUGAAGACAAUCUGCUGGGCAUAUUCUGACGCUGAGGAGCGAAAGCGUGGGUAGCGAUCGGG